Molecule: ribosomal RNA, 323 nt
Filed under: Salmonella enterica subsp. diarizonae
Lineage: Bacteria; Pseudomonadati; Pseudomonadota; Gammaproteobacteria; Enterobacterales; Enterobacteriaceae
Description: partial 23S ribosomal RNA
Rfam family: Bacterial large subunit ribosomal RNA
Source: RNAcentral
GAAUGCUGACAUAAGUAACGAUAAAGCGGGUGAAAAGCCCGCUCGCCGGAAGACCAAGGGUUCCUGUCCAACGUUAAUCGGGGCAGGGUGAGUCGACCCCUAAGGCGAGGCCGAAAGGCGUAGUCGAUGGGAAACGGGUUAAUAUUCCCGUACUUGGUGUUACUGCGAAGGGGGGACGGAGAAGGCUAUGUUGGCCGGGCGACGGUAGUCCCGGUUUAAGCGUGUAGGCUGGUUUUCCAGGCAAAUCCGGAAAAUCAAGGCUGAGGCGUGAUGACGAGGCACCACGGUGCUGAAGCAACAAAUGCCCUGCUUCCAGGAAAAGC